RNAcentral lists this small RNA (127 nucleotides) under Marmota monax (woodchuck). Lineage: Eukaryota; Metazoa; Chordata; Mammalia; Rodentia; Sciuridae. The record is from RNAcentral.
GCCAGGCUUUGUGACGCAUGCCUGUAAACCCAGCAGCUUGGGAGGCUGAGGCAGGAGAAUUGAGAGUUCAAAGCCAGCCUCAGCAACUUAGCAAGGCCCUAAGCAACUCAGCAAGACCCUGUCUCUA